CCAGCACCUGGUGAAUGAGUGUGGCCAGCGCCGCCCCCUUGGCCGACUUGGCCAGGAGCAGAAACUGCUCCUGGUUCUGCCCUGUCACCUUCACCUCCGCACUCAUGGCUGCACUGAGACGGGGGACCUGGGCUCAGGUUGACUGGAGCUGUAAGAAAGAGGAUGUGAAGCCGGAAAUCCCUGAACACUGGGUAUCGGGCGGGGCGGCCGUUCCGUCACCUCCGGCAGCUGUUCCGAGCCUUUCCUGCCGCCUCCCUACAGGGUCGCUCUAGGCACAAAUCUCGAUGGCUGGCUUCCGGACGCACUUACGCUCUUACGAAGCAUCCGGGACGUACGCGGCUUCCGCCUUCCGACCUCUGAGGCUGGGGGGUGGGGGGUGGCGGCGGCAUACGCGUUCAACUUUCUGGAUUGGCUGCUGAGAAAAUAAUGUCUGGAACAUUAUUUUCCCCGGCUUUGUUACAAUAAAACUUUAUUAGUAUGCUGCUC
Long non-coding RNA from Cavia porcellus (domestic guinea pig), 486 nucleotides. RefSeq lists it as uncharacterized. The record is from RefSeq and is a predicted model, not a curated record. NCBI's taxonomy places the organism in Eukaryota, Metazoa, Chordata, Mammalia, Rodentia, Caviidae. The transcript has 2 exons.